Molecule: long non-coding RNA, 270 nt
Filed under: Hordeum vulgare
Lineage: Eukaryota; Viridiplantae; Streptophyta; Magnoliopsida; Poales; Poaceae
Description: long non-coding RNA (HVUL_LNC013135)
Source: RNAcentral
AACAAGUCAUAUCAGAUAUUUCUGAUAGCAUUAACAAUAAGCAUCCAAGAAUCCCCGCAAAAAAAAAGCAUCCUAGAAUAAGAGUCAACAACAGGCUAGUGCGACGCGAUGCCCUACAUGUCUUCGGCGAGCAGACUAUUCUUCUUUCUUUCUUUCAAUAGUGAGGCCUCUCAAUCAUCAAGAAACGAAAAAUAACUAGGAGUAAUACCGAGUACGUACUAUUCUUGGUCAAAUGCACCAUCUAUCCAAGCCUUAACGACCAUGCAUACU